This 488-nucleotide ribosomal RNA is filed under the name uncultured bacterium. RNAcentral's name for it is "partial 16S ribosomal RNA". It matches the Rfam family "Bacterial small subunit ribosomal RNA", at positions 28 to 507 of the family's 1533-position model. The record is from RNAcentral.
GAUGAACGCUAGCGGCAGGCUUAACACAUGCAAGUCGAGGGGCAGCAUAAUGGAUAGCAAUAUCUAUGGUGGCGACCGGCGCACGGGUGCGUAACGCGUAUGCAACCUACCUUUAACAGGGGGAUAACACUGAGAAAUUGGUACUAAUACCCCAUAAUAUCAUAGAAGGCAUCUUUUAUGGUUGAAAAUUCCGAUGGUUAGAGAUGGGCAUGCGUUGCAUUAGCUAGUUGGUGGGGUAACGGCUCACCAAGGCGACGAUACAUAGGGGGACUGAGAGGUUAACCCCCCACACUGGUACUGAGACACGGACCAGACUCCUACGGGAGGCAGCAGUGAGGAAUAUUGGUCAAUGGACGCAAGUCUGAACCAGCCAUGCCGCGUGCAGGAUGACGGCUCUAUGAGUUGUAAACUGCUUUUGUACGAGGGUAAACGCAGAUACGUGUAUCUGUCUGAAAGUAUCGUACGAAUAAGGAUCGGCUAACUCCGUG